Molecule: ribosomal RNA, 497 nt
Filed under: uncultured bacterium
Lineage: Bacteria
Description: partial 16S ribosomal RNA
Rfam family: Bacterial small subunit ribosomal RNA
Source: RNAcentral
GAUGAACGCUGGCGGCGUGCCUAAUACAUGCAAGUCGGGCGAACGGACGAGAAGCUUGCUUCUCUGAUGUUAGCGGCGGACGGGUGAGUAACACGUGGAUAACCUACCUAUAAGACUGGGAUAACUUCGGGAAACCGGAGCUAAUACCGGAUAAUAUUUUGAACCGCAUGGUUCAAAAGUGAAAGACGGUCUUGCUGUCACUUAUAGAUGGAUCCGCGCUGCAUUAGCUAGUUGGUAAGGUAACGGCUUACCAAGGCAACGAUGCAUAGCCGACCUGAGAGGGUGAUCGGCCACACUGGAACUGAGACACGGUCCAGACUCCUACGGGAGGCAGCAGUAGGGAAUCUUCCGCAAUGGGCGAAAGCCUGACGGAGCAACGCCGCGUGAGUGAUGAAGGUCUUCGGAUCGUAAAACUCUGUUAUUAGGGAAGAACAUAUGUGUAAGUAACUGUGCACAUCUUGACGGUACCCAAUCAGAAAGCCACGGCUAACUACGUG